GAGGUUCUUUUACGACUAAAGGAUGAAGAAAUUAGAUAUCUUCGCAAACAAAUUGAAGACAAGAAGACAUUUAGGAGACCUCGAAGUAAUUCUGCAGCUAAGUUUACAUAAAAUCUUAUCAUUUGCAUUGUCUAAGUGUUGUUCGCCUUUUACUGUCGUCCAAUUGUGGCUACGUUAUAAUAGAUUCGAACAUGGAUAAGUAAAGCAACAUUCUUGAUUGAAUCUAUUAUUAGCCUCAUUUGGAUAUUGCUCUUUCCACUAAUUGUCUGAAGACUUUCUAAUGUGAAUGUAUUACGAAAUUGUAUAUUGUUAUUCUGCUUUAUCAGUUGGGAUGUUGAACUUAGUGGGUGCAUGCGAUGACGACGGCAUAUUUCGCGAUCAGGUGACACAACCAUCUUAAGAAAUAGCGCAGGGAAUGUCAGGACGUGGGCGGUCCUGUGCCGUCUAUUAUUGAAUCAUUUUUUUCAUUUUAUUUUCAUUAAUGUUAUUAUCUUUUAUAUUGAGGCAAACCUCGAAAACUGAGUUUUAUUGACUGUUGAUAUAUUACUUCCGGUGUAACAUAGAUGAUACCAGAACAAUUAUUUUGGUACAUAGAACCAUUACUAAAAUGGCUAUGUUUCUAUCAUUAAUCUAUUCCGGCGAAAAUCAAAUAUUUAUUUUUGAAUGGAGGGUCAGUCUCAAAGGCCAAUUUCUUAUGGUGUCUUAUUUCAGCCGUAGAGCGAAUGCUCAACUUGCGCGUCUACAGUUUACUUCCGUUUUAUGACAAAUAUGUAUAUCUGCACUUAACCACUCAUGCCUUAAUAUCUCAUGCCGUUUGCACUGAGACUCUCGGAUCUAAUUCCAUAAUCAGAACAUUUACUACUUGUUCUACGCGACUUUCCAUAUUUAGUAAUAUAGCAACAAUAAUGGCGUUGCAAAAAGCAAUGCUAAUAUUUUUAUUUCUCUCGCUGUUACCUCUGUCAGUUCAGGCUCGACUGCGUAUACUUAAUCCGCAACCCCAGCCCUUUACACCUUUUUCGUUUUCAUCUUAAAAAGUAUUUGUCUUGUGGAUAUACCGAACAAUUUACAGGAUUUAUUCAAAUACUUUGCGGUCUUCAGAUUCAGAGGGUUUUAAUACAACCACGGAGGACAAAGAAAAACUGCUAAAGGAAAAAGACGACGAGAUAAUUGCAUUAAAAAAACGCCUUAAAGAAGCAGAAGAUAACGCGAUCUGCAACCCAACUGAAUCAGAGAAGCGAAAAGAUGAAGAAAUACUAGCAUUAAAAAAACGACUUAAAGAAGCAG
Long non-coding RNA from Leucoraja erinaceus (little skate), 1284 nucleotides. RefSeq lists it as uncharacterized. The record is from RefSeq and is a predicted model, not a curated record. The transcript has 8 exons. Lineage: Eukaryota; Metazoa; Chordata; Chondrichthyes; Rajiformes; Rajidae.